UCCAUGAUUCACAAAAUCGCAAGCAAGAC
This 29-nucleotide small RNA is filed under the name Bombyx mori (domestic silkworm). RNAcentral's name for it is "ovarian small RNA-27009". Lineage: Eukaryota; Metazoa; Arthropoda; Insecta; Lepidoptera; Bombycidae. The record is from RNAcentral.